Molecule: transfer RNA, 57 nt
Filed under: Armadillidium vulgare (common pillbug)
Lineage: Eukaryota; Metazoa; Arthropoda; Malacostraca; Isopoda; Armadillidiidae
Description: tRNA-Trp
Source: RNAcentral
UAAAGGCUUAAGUUAAUAAACUAGUAUCCUUCAAAGAUAGAAUUUCCUACCUAGUAG